This 484-nucleotide ribosomal RNA is filed under the name uncultured bacterium. RNAcentral's name for it is "bacterial SSU rRNA". It matches the Rfam family "Bacterial small subunit ribosomal RNA", at positions 28 to 507 of the family's 1533-position model. The record is from RNAcentral.
GAUGAACGCUGGCGGCGUGCCUAACACAUGCAAGUCGAACGAAGCACAUACGACGGAACUCUUCGGAGGGAAGAUGUAUGUGACUGAGUGGCGGACGGGUGAGUAACGCGUGGGUAACCUGCCCUAUACAGGGGGACAACAGUUGGAAACGACUGCUAAUACCGCAUAAGCGCACAGUACCGCAUGGUACAGAGCGAAAAAACUCCGGUGGUAUAGGAUGGGCCCGCGUCUGAUUAGUUAGUUGGCGGUGUAACGGACCACCAAGACGACGAUCAGUAGCCGGCUUGAGAGAGUGAACGGCCACAUUGGGACUGAGAUACGGCCCAGACUCCUACGGGAGGCAGCAGUGGGGAAUAUUGGGCAAUGGACGCAAGUCUGACCCAGCAACGCCGCGUGAAGGAAGAAGGCUUUCGGGUUGUAAACUUCUUUGACAGGGGAAGAGCAGAAGACGGUACCCUGAAAACAAGCCACGGCUAACUACGUG